GGGGCCGUAGUGUAGCUUGGUAGCAUGCAACCUUGGGGUGGUUGUGGUCGCCAGUUCAAAUCUGGCCGGCCCCA
Molecule: transfer RNA, 74 nt
Filed under: archaeon
Lineage: Archaea
Also listed under: 1 other name
Description: tRNA-Pro
Rfam family: tRNA
About the family: Transfer RNA (tRNA) molecules are approximately 80 nucleotides in length. Their secondary structure includes four short double-helical elements and three loops (D, anti-codon, and T loops).
Source: RNAcentral